AAGUCGUAACAAGGUUUCCGUAGGUGAACCUGCGGAAGGAUCAUUAACACGUAUCCAACGUUAAACCCCUGUGAACCUUUAUUCGCCGCUCCCAGGCUCAGUCGCGUAAAGUUAGCAAUCCCUGUACUCGUGCGCUAACAACGCCGGGCAUUAAAAAACGUACUAAACAACUGUUAACAAUGGAUAUCUUGGUUCUC
RNAcentral lists this unclassified non-coding RNA (197 nucleotides) under fungal sp. RNAcentral describes it as "partial internal transcribed spacer region". The stretch from base 1 to 46 matches the Rfam family "Eukaryotic small subunit ribosomal RNA", at positions 1786 to 1831 of the family's 1831-position model. The record is from RNAcentral. Lineage: Eukaryota; Fungi.